RNAcentral lists this ribosomal RNA (536 nucleotides) under uncultured bacterium. Its description in RNAcentral is "bacterial SSU rRNA". It matches the Rfam family "Bacterial small subunit ribosomal RNA", at positions 368 to 920 of the family's 1533-position model. The record is from RNAcentral.
GCAAUGGGCGAAGCCUGACGCAUCACGCCGCGUGAGGGAGAAGGCCUCAGGGCUGUAAACCUCUUUCCUCUGGGAAGAAGAUCUCACCGUACUUGAUGAAUAUUCCACGCCUAAUUCCCUGACCACACCCGCGGUAAUACCGGGCUGGCAAGCGUUAUCCGGAAUUAUUGGCUAUAAAGAAUCCGCAGGCGGCCCUUCAAGUCUGCUGUUAAAGCGUGGAUCUUAUCUCCGUCAUGGCCCUGGAAUCUGUUGGGCUUGAGUGUGGUAGGGGCAGAGGGAAUUCCCGGUGUAACGGUGAAAUGCUUCCAUGUCGGGAAGAACACCGCUGGCAAAGGCGCUCUGCUGGGCCAUCACUGACGCUCAUGGACGAAAGCCAGGGGAGCGAAAGGGAUUAAAUACCCCUGUAGUCCUGGACGUAAACGAUGAACACUACGUGUCGGGGGAAUCGACCCCCUCGGUGUCGUACCCAACGCGUUAAGUGUUCCGCCUGGGGAGUACGCACGCAAGUGUGAAACUCAAAGGAAUUUGACGGUAAA